CCUGCUCAGGACGAACGCUGGCGGCGUGCUUAACACAUGCAAGUCGAACGCUGAAGCUUGGGUGCUUGCAUCUGGGUGGAUGAGUGGCGAACGGGUGAGUAAUACGUGAGUAACCUGCCCUUGACUCUGGGAUAAGCCUGGGAAACUGGGUCUAAUACUGGAUACUACAUUCUCUCGCAUGGGGGUGUGUGGAAAGGGUUUUACUGGUUUUGGAUGGGCUCACGGCCUAUCAGCUUGUUGGUGGGGUAAUGGCCUACCAAGGCGACGACGGGUAGCCGGCCUGAGAGGGUGACCGGCCACACUGGGACUGAGACACGGCCCAGACUCCUACUGGAGGCAGCAGUGGGGAAUAUUGCACAAUGGGCGAAAGCCUGAUGCAGCGACGCCGCGUGAGGGAUGACGGCCUUCGGGUUGUAAACCUCUUUCAGCACGGAAGAAGCGAAAGUGACGGUACGUGCAGAAGAAGCGCCGGCUAAAUACGUGCCAGCAGCCGCGGUAAUACGUAGGGCGCCAGCGUUGUCCGGAAUUAUUGGGCGUAAAGAGCUCGUGGGCGGUUUGUCGCGUUUGCUGUGAAAGCCCGGGGCUUAACCCCGUGGUGUGCAGUGGGUACGGGCAGACUAGAGUGCAGUAGGGGAGACUGGAAUUCCUGGUGUAGCGGUGAAAUGCGCAGAUAUCAGGAGGAACACCGAUGGCGAAGGCAGGUCUCUGGGCUGUACUACGCUAGGAG
Molecule: ribosomal RNA, 727 nt
Filed under: Kocuria carniphila
Lineage: Bacteria; Bacillati; Actinomycetota; Actinomycetes; Micrococcales; Micrococcaceae
Description: bacterial SSU rRNA
Rfam family: Bacterial small subunit ribosomal RNA
Source: RNAcentral